CUCAGCCUCCUGAGUUCUGGGAUUACAGGUGUGUGCCACCAUGCCCAGCCACGAGUCACAUCCCACAACGAUGUCUUUCUUGUUCUGUUUGGCCAGGAAUGUGAGGAACAAGAGGCAUAUACUGGUUUCCUGCAAGUGUCAUAACAAGAACCACGAAGUUCCUGAAAUCAGUCUGUCCCUUAUCCUGUGUGUCCAGUCACAGGAAGACUCUGGGCUUGACACUCCUUUGGGGCUUCCUCCAUUUUGCUUCCACUGACUCCAC
Molecule: long non-coding RNA, 262 nt
Filed under: Chinchilla lanigera (long-tailed chinchilla)
Lineage: Eukaryota; Metazoa; Chordata; Mammalia; Rodentia; Chinchillidae
Description: lncRNA (ENSCLAG00000026204.1)
Source: RNAcentral